Molecule: ribosomal RNA, 497 nt
Filed under: uncultured bacterium
Lineage: Bacteria
Description: partial 16S ribosomal RNA
Rfam family: Bacterial small subunit ribosomal RNA
Source: RNAcentral
GAUGAACGCUGGCGGCGUGCCUAAUACAUGCAAGUCGAGCGAACGGACGAGAAGCUUGCUUCUCUGAUGUUAGCGGCGGACGGGUGAGUAACACGUGGAUAACCUACCUAUAAGACUGGGAUAACUUCGGGAAACCGGAGCUAAUACCGGAUAAUAUUUUGAACCGCAUGGUUCAAAAGUGAAAGACGGUCUUGCUGUCACUUAUAGAUGGAUCCGCGCUGCAUUAGCUAGUUGGUAAGGUAACGGCUUACCAAGGCAACGAUGCAUAGCCGACCUGAGAGGGUGAUCGGCCACACUGGAACUGAGACACGGUCCAGACUCCUACGGGAGGCAGCAGUAGGGAAUCUUCCGCAAUGGGCGAAAGCCUGACGGAGCAACGCCGCGUGGGUGAUGAAGGUCUUCGGAUCGUAAAACUCUGUUAUUAGGAAAGAACAUAUGUGUAAGUAACUGUGCACAUCUUGACGGUACCUAAUCAGAAAGCCACGGCUAACUACGUG